AUACGGAGGGUGCGAGCGUUAAUCGGAAUUACUGGGCGUAAAGCGCGCGUAGGCGGUUUGGUCAGUCGGAUGUGAAAGCCCUAGGCUCAACCUGGGAAUGGCAUUCGAUACUGCCUGACUAGAGUAUGGUAGAGGGAAGUGGAAUUUCCGGUGUAGCGGUGAAAUGCGUAGAUAUCGGAAGGAACACCAGUGGCGAAGGCGACUUCCUGGGCCAAUACUGACGCUGAGGUGCGAAAGCGUGGGGAGCAAACGGGAUUAGAAACCCCUGUAGUCC
This 274-nucleotide ribosomal RNA is filed under the name uncultured bacterium. RNAcentral's name for it is "partial 16S ribosomal RNA". It matches the Rfam family "Bacterial small subunit ribosomal RNA", at positions 523 to 796 of the family's 1533-position model. The record is from RNAcentral.